RNAcentral lists this ribosomal RNA (466 nucleotides) under uncultured bacterium. RNAcentral describes it as "partial 16S ribosomal RNA". It matches the Rfam family "Bacterial small subunit ribosomal RNA", at positions 28 to 507 of the family's 1533-position model. The record is from RNAcentral.
GAUGAACGCUGGCGGCGUGCUUAACACAUGCAAGUCGAACGAUGAAGCCCAGCUUGCUGGGUGGAUUAGUGGCGAACGGGUGAGUAACACGUGAGUAACCUGCCCUUAACUCUGGGAUAAGCCUGGGAAACUGGGUCUAAUACCGGAUAGGAGCGUCCACCGCAGGGUGGGUGUUGGAAAGAUUUAUCGGUUUUGGAUGGACUCGCGGCCUAUCAGCUUGUUGGUGAGGUAAUGGCUCACCAAGGCGACGACGGGUAGCCGGCCUGAGAGGGUGACCGGCCACACUGGGACUGAGACACGGCCCAGACUCCUACGGGAGGCAGCAGUGGGGAAUAUUGCACAAUGGGCGCAAGCCUGAUGCAGCGACGCCGCGUGAGGGAUGACGGCCUUCGGGUUGUAAACCUCUUUCAGUAGGGAAGAAGCGAAAGUGACGGUACCUUCAGAAGAAGCACCGGCUAACUACGUG